ACUUCUUGAUAUAAAGAUCAGUGUAAAUAAAAAUAGUGUGAGAUACUAUUUUUAUUGAACUUAAAGAAGUAAAAUAUAAGUCGAAAAUGACUUGUGCUGAAAUUGGAGUGGAAACAGAAGAUUUAGAAUUUUCUGUAAAAAACGGGGAUGAUCUUUUAGCAGAAAAUUCACAGUGUCAGAAAAUUAUGAAAACUUGAGAAUAUGUCGGAAUUACUUUUAUGAGGCUAGAUUUAAUGUUUCAUGUCAUUCUAACAACUGGAAGGUGGAAAAUAAAAUCUGACUGUGAUCUACUAGAGAUUUUAGUCGGUAGAAUUUUUGGUGACAAAAAAUGGUCCAAACUGAAAAGUUAAGAUAUCUUUCUUCUUAUUAGUUUAAACCGAGUCUGACUGUCAAAUUUGAGUGCAAACGGACAUUCAAAAGGGCUCCGACGAAAAGUAUCAGAUUCUGAACUGCUAAACUGAAAUUGUAAUAGUGUUGGGGGACAUAUAUAUAAA
Molecule: long non-coding RNA, 494 nt
Filed under: Ananas comosus (pineapple)
Lineage: Eukaryota; Viridiplantae; Streptophyta; Magnoliopsida; Poales; Bromeliaceae
Description: long non-coding RNA (ACOM_LNC022315)
Source: RNAcentral